GAGAAGACAAAAUGAGGAUGUACUCCUCAGAUGCUCACGAAAGGCCUCCUUCCCCUUCUUUGGGAACGACCCCCCCCCACCCCCUCCCCCCAACAGGCAGUCCCAGGCCGCGCCAGGACUCGGCCGCAGGCAACUCGGAGGAGCGGGAGCCCAGGGGCCUCAGGAGGGCCUCGGGAGUGGGGAGCAGCUGUAAGCGCCCUACAGUUUGCAUGGGAAGGCAACAGGGACUUCCCUUUUGCACUGUCUGCGGGUACCGCUGUUCCAGCCCUGAGAGGACGAGGGGACGCUGCGCUGUGGGGAAAGUCCGGGUGGCAGGAGGUGGCGGGGCUCCUGGAGGAGGUGCUGGGAUGCGCUGCUGUGGCUGCAGAGAAAGAAAUAUAAACAAAGAGCUUGAAUUAUUUUGAAAUAACUGUUGGUAGCUGGACUGUGUUCUCUUGACCGCAACAUUGCUCUGGGACUGAAUCGCGUGGGUCUCUGCUCUUCCUAAGUGUUACAUAAGAAUAGCGAACCCAUGAGGUCAGCUUCUAAACCAGUUUCUUCCCAUAACCUCCUGGACCAAGUCCCAAGCAAGGCCCAGAGGAGCUCAAGGACCCACUCUCCCCGGGACACUCCUCGCUCUCUAGUUGGAAGGAGGAAAUGAAUGUCCCCCAGUAAUUGAAGGCUGCUCAUGUUUGUGUAGAAAAGCCAAGCACAGGCCCAUAUUCUAGAGGGUUGCUUGCGGCAGGCGGAAGGCCAUCGAAGGCAAAACGAAACAAAUGAAAAGGCAUCUUUUGAAGCUAAUGGAACAGAUCAGGUGGUCAAAAAUGGAUAAACAAUGGCAUUUGGAGCAAAACUUUCAGCUUCUUCGUUUUAGUUCGACAGCCCCAGGAGGGCAUGGAAGCUUCUCGCCCUCCUCAUAUGUCUUGCCCCAGGCAUCUCUGUGUCUCUCUCCUCUGUAACAUCCUUUAUAGUAAAUGUAAGUAGGCCUUUCCCUGAGCUCUGUGAGCUGCUCUAGCGAAUUAUUCAAGUGUUAGGAGGCGUCCUGGGAACAUUGAUUCGUGGGAACGCCAGUGGGUCAGAAGCACAGGUAAGACCACCUUGCCAUUGGCAUUGGAAGUGGAGGGCAGGCUU
Molecule: long non-coding RNA, 1110 nt
Organism: Homo sapiens (human)
Lineage: Eukaryota; Metazoa; Chordata; Mammalia; Primates; Hominidae
Product: long intergenic non-protein coding RNA 2881
Source: Ensembl